This 393-nucleotide ribosomal RNA is filed under the name uncultured archaeon. RNAcentral's name for it is "bacterial SSU rRNA". It matches the Rfam family "Archaeal small subunit ribosomal RNA", at positions 488 to 881 of the family's 1478-position model. The record is from RNAcentral.
GGGCCGGGUAGUUUNAUUGGAGCUAAAGCUCCGUAGCCGGCUCUGCAAGUCUUCGGUUAAAUCCACCUGCUCAACAGAUGGGCUGCUGGAGAUACUACAGAGCUAGGGAGUGGGAGAGGCAGACGGUAUUCAGUGGGUAGGGGUAAAAUCCUCUGAUCCAUUGAGGACCACCAGUGGCGAAGGCGGUCUGCCAGAACACGUUCGACGGUGAGGGAUGAAAGCUGGGGGAGCAAACCGGAUUAGAUACCCGGGUAGUCCCAGCUGUAAACGAUGCAAACUCGGUGAUGCAUUGGCUUAUGGCCAAUGCAGUGCCGCAGGGAAGCCGUUAAGUUUGCCGCCUGGGAAGUACGGACGCAAGUCUGAAACUUAAAGGAAUUGCGGGNNGGAGCACAA